This 781-nucleotide unclassified non-coding RNA is filed under the name Acanthastrea echinata. RNAcentral describes it as "sequence contains ITS1, 5.8S rRNA gene and ITS2". The stretch from base 353 to 506 matches the Rfam family "5.8S ribosomal RNA". Lineage: Eukaryota; Metazoa; Cnidaria; Anthozoa; Scleractinia; Lobophylliidae. The record is from RNAcentral.
UAGUGAGGCCUCCUGACUGGCGCCGAUACUCUGGCAACAGAGCGCCGGAUGCCGGAAAGUUGGUCAAACUUGAUCAUUUAGAGGAAGUAAAAGUCGUAACAAGGUUUCCGUAGGUGAACCUGCGGAAGGAUCAUUACCGAUACCGUCCAAGAAAAAAACAACUCUCCGUUGUUUUUUUGCCCUGUGAACCGUACCCAAUCGUUUAGGGGUCGGCCUGGCCGUUAAAUGGCGAGCGGACGCGAGGCAAUGCCCGCGGCCGGCCUCGCCAGCCCCGCCUGUGUAUUUUUAACGUACGUGUCUACGGUCUGAUGUUGCGGCCUGACGAGGGCCGAGAGUUGGAAAUGCGAGAGACAACUUUUGACGGUGGAUCUCUUGGCUCACGCAUCGAUGAAGAACGCAGCCAGCUGCGAUAAGUAGUGUGAAUUGCAGAAUUCAGUGAAUCAUCGAAUCUUUGAACGCAAAUGGCGCUCUUGGGUUCUCCCAGGAGCAUGUCUGUCUGAGUGUCGGAUAUCAUCCAUCGCAAGCACGGUGCGCCCGCCCGUGCUGGCGGCGUUGAGGCGUCACGGCCGCCGCACAGUGUCGGCCGUGUCCCUUGAAAGGCAGAGAGACUCGCCGCGGUCCGUGGGUAUCUUCAUUCCCGCGGCGCACCAGCGGAGGCCAAAAAGUGUUGGCAGUCCUUCGCGCGCCGCCGGGGCCCCGCCGCGCGAGUCGUCCAGGCGAGACAUCUAUCUAUCUUUCUUGACCUCAGAUCAGGCAAGGCUACCCGCUGAAUUUAAGCAUA